GCAGUCGAACGAGGUCCAUGGAGCUUGCUCCGGAAGACCUAGUGGCGAACGGGUGCGUAACACGUGAGAAACCUGCCCCAGACUUGGGAAUAACAGUUGGAAACAGCUGCUAAUACCGAAUACCUUCACACCGCCGCAUGGCGAAGUGAAGAAAGCUCCGGCGGUUUGGGAGGGUCUCGCGGCCUAUCAGCUUGUUGGUGAGGUAACGGCUCACCAAGGCAUCGACGGGUAGCUGGUCUGAGAGGAUGAUCAGCCACACUGGAACUGAGACACGGUCCAGACUCCUACGGGAGGCAGCAGUGGGGAAUAUUGCACAAUGGGCGCAAGCCUGAUGCAGCAACGCCGCGUGCGGGAAGAAGGCCCUAGGGUUGUAAACCGCUUUCAGCAGGGAAGAAAAUGACGGUACCUGCAGAAGAAGGUGCGGCCAACUACGUGCCAGCAGCCGCGGUGACACGUAGGCACCAAGCGUUGUCCGGAUUUAUUGGGCGUAAAGAGCUCGUA
This 501-nucleotide ribosomal RNA is filed under the name uncultured Actinomycetes bacterium. RNAcentral's name for it is "bacterial SSU rRNA". It matches the Rfam family "Bacterial small subunit ribosomal RNA", at positions 57 to 573 of the family's 1533-position model. The record is from RNAcentral. Lineage: Bacteria; Bacillati; Actinomycetota; Actinomycetes.